This 433-nucleotide ribosomal RNA is filed under the name uncultured bacterium. RNAcentral's name for it is "partial 16S ribosomal RNA". It matches the Rfam family "Bacterial small subunit ribosomal RNA", at positions 29 to 507 of the family's 1533-position model. The record is from RNAcentral.
AACGAACGCUGGCGGCAUGCCUAACACAUGCAAGUCGAACGAGACCUUCGGGUCUAGUGGCGCACGGGUGCGUAACGCGUGGGAACCUGCCCUUAGGUUCGGAAUAACUCCCCGAAAGGGGUGCUAAUACCAGAUAAUGUCUUCGGACCAAAGAUUUAUCGCCUUUGGAUGGGCCCGCGUUGGAUUAGCUAGUUGGUAGGGUAAAAGCCUACCAAGGCGACGAUCUAUAGCUGGUCUGAGAGGAUGAUCAGCCACACUGGGACUGAGACACGGCCCAGACUCCUACGGGAGGCAGCAGUGGGGAAUAUUGGACAAUGGGCGAAAGCCUGAUCCAGCAAUGCCGCGUGAGUGAUGAAGGCCUUAGGGUUGUAAAGCUCUUUUACCCGGGAUGAUAAUGACAGUACCGGGAGAAUAAGCUCCGGCUAACUCCGUG